UACGUAGGGGGCUAGCGUUGUCCGGAAUCAUUGGGCGUAAAGCGCGCGUAGGCGGCCCGGUAAGUCCGCUGUGAAAGUCAAAGGCUCAACCUUUGAAUGUCAGCGGAUACUGCCGGGCUAGAGUCCGGAAGAGGCGAGUGGAAUUCCUGGUGUAGCGGUGGAAUGCGUAGAGAUGUGGAGGAACACCAGUGGCGAAGGCGACUUUCUGGUCUGUAACUGACGCUGAGGCGCGAAAGCGUGGGGAGCAAACAGG
This 253-nucleotide ribosomal RNA is filed under the name uncultured bacterium. RNAcentral's name for it is "partial 16S ribosomal RNA". It matches the Rfam family "Bacterial small subunit ribosomal RNA", at positions 524 to 776 of the family's 1533-position model. The record is from RNAcentral.